This 2907-nucleotide long non-coding RNA is filed under the name Jatropha curcas. RNAcentral describes it as "long non-coding RNA (JCUR_LNC002661)". The record is from RNAcentral. Lineage: Eukaryota; Viridiplantae; Streptophyta; Magnoliopsida; Malpighiales; Euphorbiaceae.
UGGUCCAUACAUGCAUUAAAGUAAUAGUUAAAACGUUCACAAGUUAAUAUAUCCAUAUUAAUACAUGAUUAAAGGCAUAUAAAUCCGAGAACUGCGGAGUUCAAAAAUGACUAGAAGUAACAAAGUUCUUAUAUACAACAAUUAAUUAAAAUCAGAAACUAGAUAUUUACUCUUGUAGCUUUGCGGAGAAGCAUGCAGAGCUUUAAGCGACUCAAUGGAAAUCCUAUUUCUUGAAAAGUUAAACAAGAGAGGAGUUUUGCAACUCAGUGAAUAAUAAUAAAUAAUAAAUAACACAGGCAUUCAUGUGAAAUGCAUCCUAAAAUACUAAAGUGCGCAUACUACCAGUCAAGUAUAUGGCACAACAUCAACACUCACAAGUAAUUUCACCUUCAAAUAAUCAACAAGUGGAAAUUAGUCAGUGGCGCCAUCGAAAACCCCGACGAGCCAUCCUCUCACAUGGCCCGCCCUCUCAAACGUGUGCACUCGAGAGCCGAUCUCCCAUACUUGGCCGACCAGUCUAAUCCUCACUUGAUCACCCCUCUCCCAUAUUUACUUUUUAUAUACUCUCUUUUCUUUUUCAUACCAACAGGCAGCCACUUCGUGGUUUUUCCAUAUCAUAUAACAUCAGGAACACACGGGGGCGCCGAUCUCCCCAUACCUGACUGAUGGUAUCUCAGACUGCCCUUACAAACCUGUGUUGGCCCACUUCAUUUCAAUUCCACACAAACAAAGCAUAGCAAAUUCACAGCACAAGUAAUCGAGCAGUUCAUUCAACGUAAUGCACCAAAUCAAUCUUUAAUGCGCAACAUAAAAACAAAAUUAUAUACUAGUAUUAGCAUAAAACAAGUAUGAUACAAGUGUAUAUAGUUAUAUUAAUAAUAAUUUAAUAAUAUGAAAGGAAUAUUAAAUUAUCAUUUAUAUAUAUAAUAUAAGGUAUAUGAUAUGCAUAUGCAAUGAUGGUAUAUGCACUAUUUAUUAUUACUCACAGUGAUAGAGAAAAGAAAGUGCUCUAUCUCGGAUUUUGACUUGCGGGAGCAGUAGACAGGUUCUGACGAUUUAAAGAACUUAAAAAUGCAAAGAAAAGAAUUGGAUCAGACAAAGGACUAAUUUAAAUGGAGAAUUAAGGAAUUAAUCUAAUAAAUUAUCUAUGUAUCUAACUGCUAUAACUAGAGUAGAUUUUACCGAAAUUUCGGCAGUACCUCCCCUAAUAAUAAGACUAUCUACCUGCUAGAAUAACACAAUAAUAUUAAAUAUCUCAAUCAAUAAACACAGCCCAUCCGUCGGGCGAUCAAGCAGUCAAAUCUCCCUUCCUCCAUCCAAAAAAUAAUACUAAUAUUUAAUCAUCAAUAUAAAACUUUAAUUUUACUACAUAAAGUUAAGCAAAUAAGCACAUAGCUAAAUAGAUAAAUAGAUGAAAUUGAUAUUGGCUUGACCUUUACAUCCUACCAGUAUAACUAUCUAAAUAUAUAUAUACCUUUAAUAAUCAUAAGCAACUAUAAUUUAUAAAAUCUUUUAUUUCCUUCAUUAUUAAUUAAGAUUUCGUAUAUUCCAUUUAAUGAUCCACGAAUCACCGUCUUCACCAUAUGUGAUCAUAGCUAACGAUCCCAUUUUAAUCGUCCAUCGAAUAUAAAUAAGCCGUUAUAUGUAUUGACCAACAUGGAAACUUAAAAAUUACACUCACUUAUAUAUGUUAGUCAUUCUACAACAACUCAAGGUCUCAACAUAAUUGCUACCAAUACACAAAUUCAAAGUUCUUCUACACUAAAAUCUUGGAUUACACAUCAACUAACCAAUUUCUUGUAGAAAAAUAAACUUAGAACUCAACUGUACUAUAUCAAGCAAUAAUUUAAAAGAAUAAUUAAAAACAGUUGCUGCCAUUUCAAGAGACUUCUCAUUCCUACACAUAACUUGGUGUAAACAUGACAACCCCACUCAACCUCAUCAAGAAGCUCAAAUAAUAGUUCCCAAAUAGCAAUGUUCAAUAAAAUUUCUAAGCAAUUUACACAGGCAGUAGUGAGAAAUGCCCAUUUCUAUAUCAAAAUUACUUUAUACAUCACCUCCCAUUAAUAAAAUUUAAAGAAUUUAUAACUAUACUGAGACUGGUUAGAAGUUAAUUACCUAGUUACAAAAUAGCGUUGGAAAAAUGAAUUUUCCGAUUAAAUGACUGGAAACAGAUCUAAUUGUCCAAAAUAUGCCACUGCCGACGAUAGCUUGGCCGGAAUUUAUGAGAAUGGUGGCCGAAAAUACGCUGGUGAGGAGUUGAUAACGAAAGAGGAGAUAGUUUCGCUGGCUGGUCUUGCCACAAAGGCGAGAAGAAUGCAGACGAUGCUACUGCCCGAUCGAAACGCAACUGCAGCUCUUUGUGUUAGCUGCGUUGGCCGGAAGCGACAGGAGGGAGUGAAGGAGAGACCGGAGCUUCUUCGUCGACGGGAGAGAAGCCAACGUCACUGGAAAGUCGAGGAGCAGGAGGCUAGACGCGACUUCUCGAUCGAAGGAGGUCGCAGCUCUCCUGCGCCUUCUAUCCGCGCCAGAAACGAAAGGAAAGGAGAACGGAUGGCUACAACUGCUGCGGCGAGGAGGCGUGGCGCUGGUCUCUGGUGGUCGGAAAAAAGAGAGGAGGAGAGGGGGAGGGUGAGGCCGGCGCUGAAAAUGUGAUAGGGGAGGGUUUCUAGAAUUGUUUAGGGUUUUUUUUUUUUUGGUUUGGUUUGGUUCGCGUUGGGUUCCGUCCAAAUCAUGGUUAGCUUGGUUUUUCUAUUGGUUUGUUGAUUUUCUUUAAGUUUGAAUUGGUUUAUAAAAUUUGGUCUAGCAAUAUAAAAUGCACUUAGUUAAAUAAUUUCAUAGGGUAUUAAUUAAUGUAUUUUAAAUAUAAUAAUAUUCUAUAAUAUCAUUGGUUUAGAAUUAACAAUU